UUAACUGCAGUCAACUUAGGGGUAAACUGUGGUCAAUCACUUGACCUGGUGUUGCAAGACAAUACGGCAUUUAUAGUAUAACCAUUUUACUUAUGUGUGAAGCCAGUUUGAUAACAAAAAGAGCAUCUGUGAAACUACAUGAAGCAACAAGGGGAUAGUGGGGUGGUGGAGGGGGGGCUGUCAUUUCUGCAAGAGCCCAUAGCUAUUUAAUAAAUAUAAAAAAGUAUAUAAAACAUUUUUACUACUCAU
This is a non-coding RNA of Pelobates cultripes (western spadefoot toad), 249 nucleotides long. The record is from the annotation of a GenBank genome assembly. Lineage: Eukaryota; Metazoa; Chordata; Amphibia; Anura; Pelobatidae.